RNAcentral lists this unclassified non-coding RNA (150 nucleotides) under Caenorhabditis elegans. RNAcentral's name for it is "Non-coding transcript of protein-coding gene Y51A2A.4b". Lineage: Eukaryota; Metazoa; Nematoda; Chromadorea; Rhabditida; Rhabditidae. The record is from RNAcentral.
GAGCAUGAUCAUGAUCAUAAUGAUGCAGAUAAUCGACACAUUUAUCAAGGAACAAUUCUAAACGGUUUUGGUGAAGUUAUACACGACGGUGUUCUUGAAGGAGGAGCUGAUAAUAAGGGACAUUUCGGCACUGAUGUCAUUGUUGGAUAA